AUUGAACGCUGGCGGCAUGCUUUACACAUGCAAGUCGAACGGCAGCACGGGAGCAAUCCUGGUGGCGAGUGGCGAACGGGUGAGUAAUAUAUCGGAACGUGCCCAGUCGUGGGGAUAACGUAGCGAAAGCUACGCUAAUACCGCAUACGAUCUAUGGAUGAAAGCGGGGGAUCGCAAGACCUCGCGCGAUUGGAGCGGCCGAUAUCAGAUUAGGUAGUUGGUGAGGUAAAGGCUCACCAAGCCGACGAUCUGUAGCUGGUCUGAGAGGACGACCAGCCACACUGGGACUGAGACACGGCCCAGACUCCUACGGGAGGCAGCAGUGGGGAAUUUUGGACAAUGGGCGCAAGCCUGAUCCAGCAAUGCCCGCGUGCAGGAUGAAGGCCUCGGUUGGUAACG
Molecule: ribosomal RNA, 399 nt
Filed under: uncultured bacterium
Lineage: Bacteria
Description: bacterial SSU rRNA
Rfam family: Bacterial small subunit ribosomal RNA
Source: RNAcentral